RNAcentral lists this long non-coding RNA (3585 nucleotides) under Homo sapiens (human). RNAcentral describes it as "HSALNT0291790". The record is from RNAcentral. Lineage: Eukaryota; Metazoa; Chordata; Mammalia; Primates; Hominidae.
GCCGGUACCCGGCUGUAAGGCAAGCUGGGAUGCGCGGAGUAGCGGGUGGAAAGCUGGACUGGAGUUCUCACUCGGCCGCUGGGUGACUUCGGUGCACUAGGGAUAGUAACAGUACCACCUCGUAGGGUUGUAGAAAGACCAAGUGAGUUAAUAUUUGUAAAGUGUUUAGAACAGCGUCUACUGCAUGGAAAGUAGUAUUUAUUUGUUAGAGAGACUCCAGGAGGUCUUGCCCAGGGAUUGACUUCUCCCUUCCCUGUCUCCACCCCCCACAUUCCCGUUUGUGAGCCAAGCCUUGCUUUUGCACCGGCCGGGCUCUCUUGCCUGGAAAUGCAUACCCAUCUCAAACCUGGGCUUUAAAAUCACCUCCUCUGGGACGCCUUCCUCUACUUCUCACAGUUCAGGCCUGUUCUGCCCCACACAGCAGAAAAUGCCCACGAUGCAAUACCAGAGUCUGCAUGGGACCAUUUCAACAACCCUUAGAAGCUGACUCAGCUGUCUCCUGGCCCUGACUUUUCUAAGAUGAGAGGAGCUGGUAGGAACAAUUUGGGAACCCUCAAAGGCUGAGAGUAUCCCACCCACUUCACAGAUGAAGCAAACUGAGGCCCAGAGAAGGGAAAUUACUUGCCCAAGAUCACCCAGCAAGUAAGAAACAGAGCUGGAGAUGAGCUCAGGCCAGCACGGAACCACGCAAACUCCUUCUGUAGGCUUUGUAAAGGAUUGAUGAGAAAAGCAGAUGGUUAAGAGCUCUACAACUUCUGUGAGCUCAUGCCUAAGGAAUCUACAGUGUUUAAAGCUCCCCAGGGCCAGGCGUGGUGGUUCACACCUGUAAUCCCAGCACUUUGGGAGGCUGAGGCAGGCGGAUCACCUGGGGUCAGGAGUUCAAGACCAGCCUGGCUGACAUGGUGAAACCCCAUCUCUACUAAUAAUACAAAAAAAAAAGCUGGGCAUGGUGGCAUGCACCUGUAGUCCCAGCUACUAGGGAGGCUGAGGCACAAGAAUGGCUUGAACCUGGGAGGCGAAGGUUGCAGUGAACCAAGAUCGCGCCACUGUACUCCAGCCUGGGCAACAGAGCAAGACAGAGACUCCAUCUCAAAAUAAAUAAAUAGAAGGCUCUCCAGGACAUUUUGAUGCCCACUGGGAUAUGGGAACUCCUGCCAUGGGGAGGAGGGCGUCUUUAAGAAGGAAUAGGCCCUAUUGAGAUGCCAGCUGUAGACCUCUAGGAGUUGACCAUCGAGCCUGAGAAGGUAAGGAGAGGGUGUAGGAGACCCCUGACUCUGACCUCCACCCUCUCAUUCCUCUCCAGGGCAGUCCCGCACUCUGAUGGCCACAUCUGGUGCCAGGUAGUUUCUCGUAAAGAUCUACACUCACAUUACAACCUAGACAUCCCACUAGUAGGUAUUUACCCAAGACACCUGAAAGCAUGUGUGUACCCAAAGACUCGUAAAUGAAUGCAACUCUAUAUGUAAUAGCCAAAAUUAGAAACAAUCCAAAUGUUCAUCAGCAGGUGAGUGGUAAAACAAGUUGUGAUAUGUUCAUACAAUGUUGCUACUCAGUAAUAAAAAGAAAUGAGCUACAGAUACAGAUAAGGAAACUUGGAGGUGAUAUGUUCAUAAUCUUGUUUGGGUCAAAGGUUUCAGGGAUGUAUACAUGUGUCAAAACAUAUCAAACCGUAUAAUUUAAAUACGUGCUGCUUAUUGUAUGUCAAUUAUAUCUCAAUAAAGCUGUUAUAAAAAUCUGAUGCCAGUUCUGUGCACCCACGGCCAGUGACAAUCCCAAGGCCACAUUGAAUGAUUACUGUGCAUGAGGUACUGUGUGCUGAGCACUCUAUGGAGAUUUUUCCUUUAACCUUCACAAUAGCCUUAGGAGGUGGCACUAUUAUUAUUAAUACCUCUGUUUACAUAGGCAGAAAGGAAAGCUCAGAAAGGUUAAAUCACUUCUCCAAGGAAAUGUCACCUGACUGAAUUCCAGCCCCAGCUUUACCCCUAACCUAAUCCAAGCUGUGUUCUAAUUUGUUUUUAUGAUUAUACAAGCAUUGUAAUCAUUAUGGAAAGCAAAAGAAAACAUGUUUCAAUUGCUUUCAGCCAACCCCUGUACAUCAUUGAAUCCCUAUAUGUCUAGUGAUUUUUUUUUUUAUUUGAGAUGGACCUUCACUCUGUUGCCCAGGCUGGAGUGCAGUAGCGCAAUCACUCUGUUGCCCAGGCUGGAGUGCAGUGGCGCGAUCUCGGCUCACUGCAACCUCUGCCUUCCGGGUUCAAGUGAUUCUCCUGCCUCAGCCUCCUGAGUAGCUGGGAUUACAGGCACACGCCACCACGCCCGACUAAUUUUUGUAUUUUUUAGUAGAGACGGGGUUUCACCAUGUUGGUCAGGCUGGUCUCAAACUCCUGACCUCGUGAUCUGCCUGCCUCAGUCUCCCAAAGUGCUGGGAUUACAGGCAUAAGCCACUGCGCUCGGCCUAUGUCUAGUGACUGUUAUAGGCAGUAUUUUUUUUUUUCUUUUUGAGACAGGGCCUCACUCUGCUGCCCAGUCUGGAGUGCAGUGGCACAAUCAAAGCCCACUGCAGCCUUGAUCUCCUGGGCUCAAGUUAUCCUCCCAGCUCAGCCUCCCAAAUAGUAGCUGGGACUACAAGUGCAUGUUAGCAUACUCAGCUAAUUCUUAAUUUUCUUUUUUUUUUUUUUUUUUUUUUUUUUUUGGAGAGACCAGGUCUCACUAUGUUGCCCAGGCUAGUCUUGAACUCCUGGGCUCAAGCGAUCCUCCUGCCUCAGCCUCCCAAAGUGCUGGAUUACAGGCAUGAGCUACCACACCCAGCCUAGCCAGUAUUUUUUUUAUCACUAUCAUUCAGUAAUGUACAUAGCAUUUUGUUUGCCCCACCCUUCCUACCCCAACCUUAUCUCUUUCCAUGUGUUUUUUGUUGUUGUUGUUUUUGUUUUUGAGAUGGAGUUUCACUCUUGUUGCCCAGGCUGGAGUGCAAUGGUGCAAUCUCGGCUCACCACAACCUCCGCCUCCCAGGUUCAAGUGAUUCUCCUGCCUCAGGCUCCUGAAUAGCUGGGAUUAUAAGCGCACCCCACCAUGCCUGUCUAAUUUUUGUAUUUUUAGUAGAGACAGGGUUUCAUUCACCAUGUUGGUCAGGCUGGUCUCGAAUUCCUGACCUCGUGAUCCACGAGCCUCGGCCUCCCAAAGUGCUGGGAUUACAGGCAUGAGCCCCCGCGCCUGGCCUUCCAUGUGGUCUUAUACUCUUCUACAUAAAGAACACCAUGAACAACAGCUUUUAGGGAAGGUGAUUUUUUUUUUUGUUUUGUUUUUAAGAAAAGCCCUGGGAGUGGAAUGCAGGGCUCAAAAGUGUUUAUGCAUUUUUCUCUCAUCUGGAAAAACACAACUGAACCUUUUUAUUGCUUAGUCUAGAUUGGAACCUUCCUGGCACUCUAAUCCAGACCCUGAAAUUCCUGUAACAUUUGUAAGUUUGGCCACUAAGCAUCUGUUCUACCCAUGCCUGAAGGAAGUAGCUCAUGCCCCAGGACCAGGAAUAGGUUUUGAUGGGUCUUAGCCAAUCCACAUGUCCCACCCGCCGUCUGCAGCCAUUUAUUCAGG